UGCGUAGGCGGGGCAAUAAGUCAGUGGUGAAAUCCUGCGGCUUAACCGUAGAAUUGCCAUUGAUACUGUUGCCCUUGAGUAUAGUUGAAGUGGGCGGAAUAUGUAAUGUAGCGGUGAAAUGCAUAUAUAUUACAUAGAACACCAAUUGCGAAGGCAGCUCACUAAGCUAUCACUGACGCUGAGGCACGAAAGCGUGGGGAGCGAACAGGAUUAGAUACCCUGGUAGUCC
Molecule: ribosomal RNA, 229 nt
Filed under: uncultured bacterium
Lineage: Bacteria
Description: partial 16S ribosomal RNA
Rfam family: Bacterial small subunit ribosomal RNA
Source: RNAcentral